GUGGUUCGAUUAUGGCUCAGAUUGAACGCUGGCGGGAUGCUUUACACAUGCAAGUCGAACGGCAGCACGGACUUAUUCGUGGCGAGUGGCGAACGGUGAGUACUACCGGAACGUGCUCAGUGGGGAUAAUUCCACGCGAAAAGCAGAAGCAAUACCGCAUAUUGCCCUUCGGGAAAGCGGGGACCUUCGGGCCUCGUACCAUUAGAGCGGCCGAUAUCGGAUUAGCUAGUUGGUGGGUAACGGCUCACCAAGGCGACGAUCCGUCCGUAGCUGGUUUGAGAGGACGACCAGCCACACUGGGAUCAGAUACGGCCCAGACUCCUACGGAGCGCAGUAUGGGAAUUUUUGGCUGUCGGGGAAACCCUGAUCCAGCCAUCCCGCGUGUGCGAUGAAGGCCUUCGGGUUGUAAAGCACUUUUGGCAGGAAGAAACGGCACGGGAUAAUACCCCGUGCAACUGACGGCAUCUGCGGUGAAUAGCACCUGCUAACGACGUGCUGCAGCAGCCAGCGGUAAAUACGCAGGAAAAAAGCGUUAAUCGGAAUUGUCGGCGUAAAGCGUGCGCAGGCGGUUCGGGAAAGAAAGAUGUGGAACUCAGAGCUUAACUUUGGAACUGCAUUUUUAACUACCGAGCUAGAGUGUGUCAGAGGGAGGUGGAAUCGCGUGUAGUAGGAAAUGCGUAGUAUGCGGAGGAACACCGAUGGCGAAGGCAGCCUCCCUGGGAUAACACUGACGCUCAUGCACGAAAGCGUGGGAGCAAACAGGAUUAGAUACUCCCAAGUAGUCCACGCCCUAAACGAUGUCAACUAGCUGUUGGGCUCUCGGCUCCUGGUAGCGCAGCUAACGCGUAGUUGACCGCCUGGGGAGUACGGUCGCAAGAUUAAAACUCAAAGGAAUUGACGGGACCCGCACAAAGCGUGCGGAUGAUGUGACUUUUCAAUUCGAUGCAACGCGAAAACCUGUUCUACCCCGACAUGUCUGGAAUCCCGAAGAGAUUUGGGAGUGCCUACAAGAGAACCGAACACAGGUGCUGCAUGGCUGUCGUCAGCUCGUGUCGAGAUGUUGGGUUAAGUCCCGCAACGAGCGCAACUCUGUCAUUAGUUGCUACGAAAGGGCACUCUAAUGAGACUGCCGGUGACAAACCGAGGAAGGUGGGGAUGACGUCAAGUCCUCAUGGCCCUUAUGGGUAGGGCUUCAACACGUCAUACAAUGGUCGGGACAGAGGGUCGCCAACCCGCGAGGGGAGCCAAUCCCCAGAAACCCGAUCGUAGUCCGGAUCGCAAAUUGCAACUCGACUGCGUGAAGUCGGAAUCGCUAGUAAUCGCGGAUCAGCAUGUCGCGGUGAAUACGUUCCCGGGUCUUGUACACACCGCCCGUCACACCAUGGAGUGGGUUUUACCAGAAGUAGUUAGCCUAACCGUAAGGGGAGGGCGAUUACCACGGUAGGAUUCAUGACUGGGGUGAAGUCGUAACAAGGUAG
This 1478-nucleotide ribosomal RNA is filed under the name uncultured Bordetella sp. Its description in RNAcentral is "partial 16S-23S ribosomal RNA intergenic spacer". It matches the Rfam family "Bacterial small subunit ribosomal RNA". The record is from RNAcentral. Lineage: Bacteria; Pseudomonadati; Pseudomonadota; Betaproteobacteria; Burkholderiales; Alcaligenaceae.